GCCAAGGAUGAUGGCACAUGCCAGUAACCUCAGCUCCUGGAGAGGCUGAAGCUGGCUCUCUUGAGUUCAGGAGUUCUGAGUUAUGAUGGGUUAGGUUGGUUGGGUAGCUAUACUAAGUUCAGCAUCAACAUGGUGACCACUAGAAGUGGGUAGCCACCAAGGUUGCUAAAGGAAGGGUGAACCUGUCCAGGUCUAAAAUAGUGCAAGUCAAAGGUUCUGUGCCCAUCAGUAAUGAGAUGGGGCUCAAUGAAUAGCCCUCACACUUCUUGAAGAGACCUAGUCUUU
RNAcentral lists this non-coding RNA (285 nucleotides) under Phascolarctos cinereus (koala). The record is from RNAcentral. Lineage: Eukaryota; Metazoa; Chordata; Mammalia; Diprotodontia; Phascolarctidae.